GACGAACGCUGGCGGCGUGCUUAACACAUGCAAGUCGAACGGAAAGGCCCUGCUUUUGUGGGGUGCUCGAGUGGCGAACGGGUGGGUAACACGUGAGUAACCUGCCCUUGACUUUGGGAUAACUUCAGGAAACUGGGGCUAAUACCGGAUAGGAGCUCCUGCUGCAUGGUGGGGGUUGGAAAGUUUCGGCGGUUGGGGAUGGACUCGCGGCUUAUCAGCUUGUUGGUGGGGUAGUGGCUUACCAAGGCUUUGACGGGUUGCCGGCCUGAGAGGGUGACCGGCCACAUUGGGACUGAGAUACGGCCCAGACUCCUACGGGAGGCAGCAGUGGGGAAUAUUGCACAAUGGGCGGAAGCCUGAUGCAGCAACGCCGCGUGCGGGAUGACGGCCUUCGGGUUGUAAACCGCUUUCGCCUGUGACGAAGCGUGAGUGACGGUAAUGGGUAAAGAAGCACCGGCUAACUACGUG
RNAcentral lists this ribosomal RNA (468 nucleotides) under uncultured bacterium. RNAcentral describes it as "partial 16S ribosomal RNA". It matches the Rfam family "Bacterial small subunit ribosomal RNA", at positions 28 to 507 of the family's 1533-position model. The record is from RNAcentral.